RNAcentral lists this transfer RNA (75 nucleotides) under Cordylochernes scorpioides. RNAcentral's name for it is "tRNA-Thr". It matches the Rfam family "tRNA". Rfam says of the family: Transfer RNA (tRNA) molecules are approximately 80 nucleotides in length. Lineage: Eukaryota; Metazoa; Arthropoda; Arachnida; Pseudoscorpiones; Chernetidae. The record is from RNAcentral.
GUUCCGGGUAGCCUAGUGGACAUGGCAUCUGCCCGGUAAGCGGAACACUGUGGGUUCGAUUCCCAUCCCUGGACA